AAAACAUGUCCUUUUGAUUUUUAUUUAAGGUCUGGCCUGCUCAAUGAGGUUUUAAAUAGCCGCGAUAAUCUGAUCGUGCAAAGGUAGCAUAAUCAUUAGUUUCUUAAUUAGAAGCUGGUAUGAAGGGUUGGACGAAACUGGGACUGUCUCGGGUUAAUUUUGUUGGAAUUUUAUUUUUAGGUAAAAAAGCCUAAAUAGUUCUUAAAGACGAGAAGACCCUAUAGAGUUUUACAGUUUGUGUUAGAAUAAUUUUAUUUAGGGAUUGUUAUUGGUUAUUUUACUUGAUUGUUUAGUUGGGGUGAUUGAAGAAAUUUUUUAACUUCUUUUAUUUGUUAACAUUAAUUUAUGAUUAAUUGAUCCAUUUAUUUAUGAUUAUAAGAUUAAAUUACCUUAGGGAUAACAGCGUAAUUUCUUUUGAGAGUUCUUAUCGAAAAAGGAGUUUGCGACCUCGAUGUUGGAUUAAAGUUUAUUAUCGGCGCAGAAGUUGAAUAAUUUGGUCUGUUCGACCAUUAAAACUUUACAUGA
This 525-nucleotide ribosomal RNA is filed under the name Chrysochroa rugicollis. Its description in RNAcentral is "partial 16S ribosomal RNA". It matches the Rfam family "Bacterial large subunit ribosomal RNA", at positions 1810 to 2603 of the family's 2925-position model. The record is from RNAcentral. Lineage: Eukaryota; Metazoa; Arthropoda; Insecta; Coleoptera; Buprestidae.